Molecule: ribosomal RNA, 497 nt
Filed under: uncultured bacterium
Lineage: Bacteria
Description: partial 16S ribosomal RNA
Rfam family: Bacterial small subunit ribosomal RNA
Source: RNAcentral
GAUGAACGCUGGCGGCGUGCCUAAUACAUGCAAGUCGAGCGAACGGACGAGAAGCUGGCUUCUCUGAUGUUAGCGGCGGACGGGUGAGUAACACGUGGAUAACCUACCUAUAAGACUGGGAUAACUUCGGGAAACCGUAGCUAAUACCGGAUAAUAUUUUGAACCGCAUGGUUCAAAAGUGAAAGACGGUCUUGCUGUCACUUAUAGAUGGAUCCGCGCUGCAUUAGCUAGUUGGUAAGGUAACGGCUUACCAAGGCAACGAUGCAUAGCCGACCUGAGAGGGUGAUCGGCCACACUGGAACUGAGACACGGUCCAGACUCCUACGGGAGGCAGCAGUAGGGAAUCUUCCGCAAUGGGCGAAAGCCUGACGGAGCAACGCCGCGUGAGUGAUGAAGGUUUUCGGAUCGUAAAACUCUGUUAUUAGGGAAGAACAUAUGUGUAAGUAACUGUGCACAUCUUGACGGUACCUAAUCAGAAAGCCACGGCUAACUACGUG